GUUUUUAUGUUCUCACAGUCUGGAGAUCUGCCUGAGCAUUUACCCUGAGGGUAGUGGGCAUUUACUACAAAUAAAAUAAGUGCUUUUUAAACUCUUUUGGAAAAAAUUAAUCAGGAUGGAACUCUUUGUUUAAUUCAUACCCUUAUUCCUCCAGUGCAUCCUGCAGAAUAGUCCUGAAAAUUCUGCCUUUCCCUGUCUUCAUCUUCAGUAAGUUUAGUCAGUUCCUGAGGACACUACAAUUCCACCAUUAGGGGAAGGUGCAUAAAGUCCUGGAUUUUGGAAACAGAAGGAUUCAGCAUGUGUUCUCCUGGAGUGAAGAAUGGAGAGGUAGACUUCUUGGAAGCUUGAAGAAUUGAAGGAUUACCAAUGUGUGUUCCUCAAGGCAGGGCUAGCUUGUGAUCUUCCAGUGGCAGACAAGUUUGGGCCAAGAAAUAUGGCAUCAGCAUCCUGUUCCAAAUAUUGUGCAUUUCACAGCCAGAGACCGUGGGAAAACUUCCAAAGACAUCAAGAUGCUGAUCUUGAUGAAGAUCAUAGAUGA
Molecule: long non-coding RNA, 538 nt
Filed under: Cyanistes caeruleus (blue tit)
Lineage: Eukaryota; Metazoa; Chordata; Aves; Passeriformes; Paridae
Description: lncRNA (ENSCCEG00000023303.1)
Source: RNAcentral